RNAcentral lists this small RNA (29 nucleotides) under Bombyx mori (domestic silkworm). Its description in RNAcentral is "ovarian small RNA-2477". The record is from RNAcentral. Lineage: Eukaryota; Metazoa; Arthropoda; Insecta; Lepidoptera; Bombycidae.
ACAAACGAGGGACCAGAUUCUGAAAGUGA